This 252-nucleotide long non-coding RNA is filed under the name Homo sapiens (human). Its description in RNAcentral is "HSALNT0344579". Lineage: Eukaryota; Metazoa; Chordata; Mammalia; Primates; Hominidae. The record is from RNAcentral.
UCGAAAAUAAAUAAGUCGCAUGGGGUGUGAGAAGGCAAGGGAGCUGGGAGCACUGGAGGGAUGGCACCCACUUUGGCCUGGUCUCUCUGAGAAGCUCCACAUGUGGGAAGGCUUGGAGGAAAGCAGCGACGCACCCCCGGCCUUCCUGCAGGGCACACGGGCCCCGACCAGGACCAUCACUGAAGUUCAGGCACCAGAAAAGUUUCCAGAAGUGAAAUUGCUGGGAUAGUUACAUGUAAAGAAGAGUUUUUU